This 344-nucleotide unclassified non-coding RNA is filed under the name soil metagenome. RNAcentral describes it as "partial contains 5.8S ribosomal RNA, internal transcribed spacer 2, and large subunit ribosomal RNA". The stretch from base 1 to 120 matches the Rfam family "5.8S ribosomal RNA", at positions 35 to 154 of the family's 154-position model. The record is from RNAcentral.
GAUGAAGAACGUAGCGAAAUGCGAUACGUAAUGUGAAUUGCAGAAUUCAGUGAAUCAUCGAGUCUUUGAACGCACAUUGCGCCCCCUGGUAUUCCGGGGGGCAUGCCUGUCCGAGCGUCAUUGCUGCCCUCAAGCACGGCUUGUGUGUUGGGCCUCCGUCCUCCUCCCGGGGGACGGGCCCGAAAGGCAGCGGCGGCACCGCGUCCGGUCCUCGAGCGUAUGGGGCUUCGUCACCCGCUCUUGUAGGCCCGGCCGGCGCUUGCCGACACAUCAAUCUUUUUUCCAGGUUGACCUCGGAUCAGGUAGGGAUACCCGCUGAACUUAAGCAUUCAAUAAGCGGAGGA